GCAAGCUUUCUAGACACCAGGUGGUGGCUGUGGACCUGUGCUGGGACUCUGAGGGUGCCAGGCCUGUCCCAGCAGCCCCAUGCCCAGAUACCCUCUGUGAAGGAGAUGCAGAGGCAGUGGGAGAGGCCAGCUGCCCAGACAAUCCUGCCGGGCAUGCUGGGCACUGCCAGCCACUGGCUCUGGCUGUUAUGCUCAGGCUGGAUUCUGAGGCUGGGGCUGGCCUCCAGACACCUGCAGUGGGCAGCUCCAACCAGCCAGCCCAGCUGCCUGCAAAGACAGAGCUGGGGAUGGCUUCUUCUCAAAUGUGCAGGAAUUUCCUCCCAUCUGCCUUUUGGCCAGGCCAAGGACCUGGGCUUCCACGGCAAGGCAAGGUGUCCAAUCUGCAUCUGGGCCCAAGAGUGACCCAGCAGGCCCUGCAUAAACUCCCCAAAUGGAAGGCACAAUGCCAAGAGAUGGGGCAAAGGGAAAACGACAUCCAGGUCUUCACGGCCCAGUUGCAAGGGUCCCUGGAAAGCCCCAUCAGAGUCUACCAGUGCCUGGGAGCCCACCACAGUGACUUACAUAGUUGGAGCCAAUGUCCAGCUGUGCCUGGGCCAUUCGCAAACACAGUUUACAAGGGGAAGGACACUGACGUCAGGUACUCACUCAAAUCAUUUCCAACAAGAAAUUUCUCUCUCUCAGCUGUUUGUCUCCAAACCUCCCUCAAGGUGGAAAGCUACGGAGCAGGGCAUAAAUGGAAGUUGCCAGACAGAUGUAAGAUUUGGGGUCUUGUUCUGAUAUGUGACUUCAUAGAAACCGGAUAUGGGCAGGCAGCCACAGGUGGUGACUCCACCCUAAGCCUAGGUGAUGACAAGUUUGUAGACCUCAUCUCCCUAGAGCUGGCUGAGAACAAAGGCAUGGCUGAUGUGAGCACUUCUGGGAGAACGCUGAAACUGGGUUCCCAUUGGACCCAGGCAGUGCGAUGUCAGCCUGACAGGUUAAGUUGUCUCUGUGCCAACUGCAAAGACAUUCCUGAUUUCUCAGCUGGACCUGUGAUGUGUCAAGGACUUGACGUCAUGGUUCUAAGCUGUGCCUGCAUAACAGGCUUUGUUAACCAGCCACUGCAAGGCUGGCACACCUUCAGAACUAUAGUGCCAGACAGGUGACCCUCAUCUGUGGGUCAGGGUGUGAGUGUGCUUGGUGUGGGUGAGGAAGUGGAGUGUGUGGGCACUGUGGUGGUAGGAGGGGCUCUGUGCCACAGAAGGUCUCCAUGCACACACCAAGAACUAGAACUUCCUUGGACCUUACAACUCUCUGUUUACCUUUCCUGGGAGCAGUUAGCCUAUCAGCCACUCACAUCUUAGUAUGAAUUUGUCUGCCCUGCACAGGGCCUCUUACAACACAGCAGCUGGCCACAGCCUGAAUUCAU
This 1408-nucleotide long non-coding RNA is filed under the name Papio anubis (olive baboon). RNAcentral's name for it is "lncRNA (ENSPANG00000042760.1)". Lineage: Eukaryota; Metazoa; Chordata; Mammalia; Primates; Cercopithecidae. The record is from RNAcentral.